GAGUGCCCCAAGCGUUAUCCGGAUUUAUUGGGCGUAAAGCGCGAAUAGGUGGUUAGGUAAGUCUUUAGUGAAAGACCAGGGCUCAACUCUGGUAAUGCUUGAGAUACUGCCUGACUUGAGGCUGGGAGAGGCGAGUGGAAUUGCUGGUGAAGGGGUUAAAUCCGUUGAUAUCAGCAGGAACACCAAAGGCGAAGGCAACUCGCUAGAACAGUUCUGACACUAAUUUCACGAAAGCGUGGGGAGCGAAGAGGAUUAGAUACCCUCGUAGUCCACGCCGUAAACGAUGAAUGCUAGGCAUUGGUAGUAUCGACCCUAUCAGUGCCGUUCACAAAGCUAACGCGUUAAGCAUUCCGCCUGGGGAGUACGGCCGCAAGGCUA
Molecule: ribosomal RNA, 378 nt
Filed under: uncultured organism
Description: partial 16S ribosomal RNA
Rfam family: Bacterial small subunit ribosomal RNA
Source: RNAcentral